AAUAGAUACCCCGGUAGUCCACGCCGUAAACGAUGAGUGCUAAGUGUUAGGGGGUUUCCGCCCCUUAGUGCUGCAGCUAACGCAUUAAGCACUCCGCCUGGGGAGUACGGUCGCAAGACUGAAACUCAAAGGAAUUGACGGGGGCCCGCACAAGCGGUGGAGCAUGUGGUUUAAUUCGAAGCAACGCGAAGAACCUUACCAGGUCUUGACAUCCCGUUGACCACUAUGGAGACAUGGUUUUCCCUUCGGGGACAACGGUGACAGGUGGUGCAUGGUUGUCGUCAGCUCGUGUCGUGAGAUGUUGGGUUAAGUCCCGCAACGAGCGCAACCCUUGUUCUUAGUUGCCAUCAUUUAGUUGGGCACUCUAAGGAGACUGCCGGUGACAAACCGGAGGAAGGUGGGGAUGACGUCAAAUCAUCAUGCCCCUUAUGACCUGGGCUACACACGUGCUACAAUGGACGGUACAAACGGUUGCCAACCCGCGAGGGGAGCUAAUCCGAUAAAACCGUUCUCAGUUCGGAUUGUAGGCUGCAACUCGCCUACAUGAAGCCGG
RNAcentral lists this ribosomal RNA (553 nucleotides) under uncultured bacterium. Its description in RNAcentral is "bacterial SSU rRNA". It matches the Rfam family "Bacterial small subunit ribosomal RNA", at positions 777 to 1329 of the family's 1533-position model. The record is from RNAcentral.